This 253-nucleotide ribosomal RNA is filed under the name uncultured bacterium. RNAcentral's name for it is "partial 16S ribosomal RNA". It matches the Rfam family "Bacterial small subunit ribosomal RNA", at positions 524 to 776 of the family's 1533-position model. The record is from RNAcentral.
GACGGAGGAUGCAAGCUUAAUCCGGAAUGAUUGGGCGUAAAGCGUUCGCAGGUGGCUAUUCAAGUCUGCUGUCAAAGACCGGGGCUUAACCCCAGAGAGGCAGUGGAAACUGAAUGGCUGGAGUUCAGAUCGGGUAGAGGGAAUUCCCAGUGUAGCGGAGAAAUGCGUAGAGAUUGGGAAGAACACCGGUGGCGCAAGCGCUUUGAUGGCCUGUAACUGACCCUGAGGGACGAAAGCUAGGGGAGCGAAAGGG